GCCCUUAUAGCUCAGUGGUAGAGCGCAUCACUCGUAACCGUUCCACGGUUGAAUCUGAUAUGAUGAGGUCCGCUGUUCGAUCCAGCGUGGGGGCA
Molecule: transfer RNA, 95 nt
Filed under: Hirsutella minnesotensis 3608
Lineage: Eukaryota; Fungi; Ascomycota; Sordariomycetes; Hypocreales; Ophiocordycipitaceae
Rfam family: tRNA
About the family: Transfer RNA (tRNA) molecules are approximately 80 nucleotides in length. Their secondary structure includes four short double-helical elements and three loops (D, anti-codon, and T loops). Further hydrogen bonds mediate the characteristic L-shaped molecular structure. tRNAs have two regions of fundamental functional importance: the anti-codon, which is responsible for specific mRNA codon recognition, and the 3' end, to which the tRNAs corresponding amino acid is attached (by aminoacyl-tRNA synthetases). tRNAs cope with the degeneracy of the genetic code in two manners: having more than one tRNA (with a specific anti-codon) for a particular amino acid; and 'wobble' base-pairing, i.e. permitting non-standard base-pairing at the 3rd anti-codon position.
Source: Rfam by way of RNAcentral